AGAUGAUGGUUACAACUUGUAAUGAUUACUUAUGAUUAUUCAAAGUUAAUUUUUGUUUCAAGACCGGACUGA
This 72-nucleotide small nucleolar RNA is filed under the name Drosophila grimshawi. Its description in RNAcentral is "snoRNA:GH25865". Lineage: Eukaryota; Metazoa; Arthropoda; Insecta; Diptera; Drosophilidae. The record is from RNAcentral.